CGGCCUGAGAGGGUGAACGGACACACUGGAACUGAGACACGGUCCAGACUCCUACGGGAGGCAGCAGUAGGGAAUAUUGCUCAAUGGGGGAAACCCUGAAGCAGCAACGCCGCGUGGAGGAUGAAGGUUUUCGGAUUGUAAACUCCUUUUGUUAGAGAAGAUAAUGACGGUAUCUAACGAAUAAGCACCGGCUAACUCCGUGCCAGCAGCCGCGGUAAUACGGAGGGUGCAAGCGUUACUCGGAAUCACUGGGCGUAAAGAGCGCGUAGGCGGGAUAGCAAGUCAGAUGUGAAAUCCUAUGGCUUAACCAUAGAACUGCAUUUGAAACUGUUAUUCUAGAGUAUGGGAGAGGUAGGUGGAAUUCUUGGUGUAGGGGUAAAAUCCGUAGAGAUCAAGAGGAAUACUCAUUGCGAAGGCGACCUGCUAGAACAUAACUGACGCUGAUGCACGAAAGCGUGGGGAGCAAACAGGAUUAGAUACCCUGGUAGUCCACGCCCUAAACGAUGAAUGCUAGUUGUUGCCCUGCUUGACAGGGCAGUAAUGCAGCUAACGCAUUAAGCAUUCCGCCUGGGGAGUACGGUCGCAAGAUUAAAACUCAAAGGAAUAGACGGGGACCCGCACAAGCGGUGGAGCAUGUGGUUUAAUUCGAAGAUACGCGAAGAACCUUACCUAGGCUUGACAUUGAUAGAAUCCUAUAGAGAUAUGGGAGUGCCCUUUUAGGGAGCUUGAAAACAGGUGCUGCACGGCUGUCGUCAGCUCGUGUCGUGAGAUGUUGGGUUAAGUCCCGCAACGAGCGCAACCCUCGUCCUUAGUUGCUAGCAGUUCGGCUGAGCACUCUAAGGAGACUGCCUUCGUAAGGAGGAGGAAGGUGAGGACGACGUCAAGUCAUCAUGGCCCUUACGCCUAGGGCUACACACGUGCUACAAUGGGGCGCACAAAGAGGAGCAAUACCGCGAGGUGGAGCAAAUCUCUAAAACGUCUCUCAGUUCGGAUUGUAGUCUGCAACUCGACUACAUGAAGCUGGAAUCGCUAGUAAUCGUGAAUCAGCCAUGUCACGGUGAAUACGUUCCCGGGUCUUGUACUCACCGCCCGUCACACCAUGGGAGUUGUAUUCGCCUUAAGUCGGAAUGCCAAACUGGCUACCGCCCACGGCGGAUG
This 1158-nucleotide ribosomal RNA is filed under the name uncultured Helicobacter sp. RNAcentral describes it as "bacterial SSU rRNA". It matches the Rfam family "Bacterial small subunit ribosomal RNA", at positions 288 to 1468 of the family's 1533-position model. Lineage: Bacteria; Pseudomonadati; Campylobacterota; Epsilonproteobacteria; Campylobacterales; Helicobacteraceae. The record is from RNAcentral.